GAGAUCUCGCGGGAUUCGAUGAACCGCGAGGGGCCGGCGGGCGGCUCGACCUUAGCCCUAGAACCACACUACGCAAGCGCAGGACUAAACCCGGCUCCGCCCCCUCCGGAGGGCGGGGUUUUGAAGUUUAGACCGGAUCCCGUGGACCCCCAAGGUCGGUGAGAAGUGGCGGGGACACGUGAUGGGUUGCUAGUCUAGGUAAGGAGUUUACAGACAUUAACGCCCGUUGGUGUUCCGCGGCCGCCCCCGCCGCCUGGACCCGGAGAGUUCACAUCCAGUGAGUUCCCCUCAAGUCCCCGGUGUCCUCCUCGGCUCCCCGGGACGCGAACCCACGCCCUGGCACGGCCUGCGCGCUCUGACUUUGGCGCUCUACAGCCCCAACCUCAAGGAGGGAUUUUACUCAUGUUGUACUCACGGCGUCUUAGGCUGGGAACUUACCCUGAGACAGGUACCAUCGAGCCUAACCCUUGUCUUUGUAGGUGGGGAAACUAGAGCCGUGGUUCUCAACCUUCCUAAAGCUGCGACCCUGUAAUACCGUUCUUCAUGUUGUGGUGACCCCUAACCAUAACAUUAUUUUGUUGCCACUUAAUAGCUGUCACUUUGCUACUGUUACGAAUUGUAAUGUAAAUAUCUGUGUUUUUCGUUUUGAUUGGCCUCCCAAAGGUGUCGUGACCCAUAGGUUGGGAAAACACUGGACUCGUCCCUAGAGAAUAUGAAGUCUACCCUAGAGGAUAUGAUGUCUUUAAGCCAGUUAAGGAAAGCACUGGAGUUACAAGCUCUCUCUGGACUGCUGGCCCAGGGACCUUUAGUCUUUUUAUGUACACACACACACAUAUACACAUACACGUUCCAGAUUGGUUAAAAAUGGUUUAGAAUGUGUAUUGAUUUCUUAGUUUAAUCAUUAAGCUCAUUUUUUCAUAAACUGGACUGGAUUGAGCAAGGCUUGUUUCUAGGAUAAUUUUGGAUCUCCAGGAGCUACAAACCCUAAAAAACUGUUCUGAAUUAGGCGGCUGUAGAAAUCACAGCAAGAGCUAAUGACGGAGCACUAACACUGGUAUAGAAUUACAGAGUAGUUGAAGCCGGUCGGUGGUGAUGCAUGCUUUUAAUCCCUCUGAGUUAAUCUUUUAAUCUCUGUGCGAUGGAGGCCAGCCUGGUCUACAGAGAGAGUUCCAGGACAGCCAAGGUUACACAGAGAACUCUGUCUUGAAAAACCAACCAAACAAACAAAAUUGAAUAGCUGAAAAAUGAGUACCGACCAUCGAAUGGGCAGCCAUCAAACGAACUGGAGACCCUGGUAGCAAGCACAUCCAAACAUUUUCACUUCCUUUGAAAAACCUCAGGAAAGGGCUAGAAGAAUGUUAUCACUUUACAAAUACCUUCUGGCAGGACCUGAUCUCUUAGUGGUCAGAUGAAUGAAAAUAGAAAAAGGAAAUGUGAUGGUGGCGCAGGUCUUUAAUCCCAGCACUCGGGAGGCAGAGCCAGGCGGAUCUCUGUGAGUUCGAGGCCAGCCUGGUCUACAGAUCCAGGACAGACACCAAAACUACACAGAGAAACCCUGUCUCAAAAAAUCAGAAGAAAAAAAAAAGAAAAAGGAAAUGUUCCAAUAGAAUAAAAUUGAUGGUAGAAAAUAAAGAUAGUCUAUAGCUUAGGUCUAAAAUUCAAAGAGAAGAAACUUGGUUUGGGCUCUUUUGAUGUGAGGCUCCCUUUUCUCCUUAAAAUGAGUUCUAGGUCCCAGCAGUUCAAAAACUGAAUGGAGGAGUUCAGGUAUAUUUUCACUUAUUUUCCCCCCUUCUAGAUUUUCUCUUAACACUAAGGAUUGCUAUCAUUUGUGUGAUGCUUAACUUGAUUUAUACCAUGCAUUACAUGAUUUGUUCCUUUAUAUGAUUUAAUUUUCUUGUGUUUUGUUGUUUUGUUUUGUAUCAGGGUGCCUCUACAUAGACCUGGCUAUCCUGGAACUCAUUAUGUAAACCGGGCUGGCUUCGAACACACAGAGAUGCACCUGCCUCUUCCUUAUUCAGAUUGUGAGGAUCCAGGAGAAGACGAGGCCCAGCAUCACAACUGGCUUAGACACUUGUUUAAAGUAGCUUCUGUCUCUCUGCCUUAGGUAAUCAACCGAUGCUUUGGGCUCCUUUGGUAUCCAAAAAAGACUUGGAGAUACGUGGCUCCAGCAGUCUGCCUUUCCCUGUGGCUACUGAAGAACCACUAGGCAAGGGCUUGUAGUUCAAGUGAACUGUCACUUCACUCUUGUUAUGAUUUGAAUAUGACAUGUCCCCACAGGCUCAGCUGAUGCACUGUUUUGGAAGAUUUGGGAAAUAUUAGGAGGAAGGGCCUGAUUAGAGGAAGUGGGUUGUGAGCGUGGGGGCUUCGAAGAGUGUCUUAUUCCUGGGUUCUUCUUGUCUUUAUUUUUCCUUUCUGUCUAUCAUGAGCUGAACAUGCUUUACCACGUGCUCUCUGCCAUGACGUUCAGCUUCCACACAGGCCAGAAGCAACAGAGCCAAGUGACAACGGUGAACUGAAACCCCGGAGACCGUGAGCCUAACCAGUCUUCCUCCUUAUACUGUUAAUCUCAGAUCAUCAUCACAACAGCAAAGAACUGCCUGACAUGUACUUCAGAGAGCACUCCCAAGUCAGCCACCCGCUCUGCCGGGGAAAUGCUUUGCAGAACUGUUUCAAGUGAUUGUAUUUUACUUUUCAAAAACUAUUAUAUUUUACCAUGCUUUAUUAUUAUGUUUUUCUACUUUUAUGGUUAUACUUUAUUAUUUUUACUACUAUAUCUACUGUAAAAGAAUCAUAAAACUUAACCGCAUACUGCAGUUAUUCAUUUACAAAUAAUGAAUGUGUGGCACACACCUUUAAUCCCAGCACCUGGGAGGCAGAGACAGGCAGAUCUCUGUGAGUUCGAGGCCAGUCUGGUCUACAGAGUGAGUUCCAGGACAGCUAGGGCUACACAGAAAAACCCUAUCUUGAAAGACAAAAACAAAACAAAACAAAUAAAUGAACGAAUAAAUGAAUGCUCAGAAGAAUGACUAAAAUCAUCCUUUGGUUCCUUUAUCUGGUCUGGAAUGAUAACUCAGUAGGUUAAUAGCACUCUCACCCACGCCUGAAGGCCUGAGUUCAAGCCUUGCAACCCUCGUGGUGGAAAGAGAACUGACUCCAAGUUGUCCUCUGACCUUCAGGGGACUGGGGUUCAGUUCCCAGCACCUACACUAGGUGGCUCACAAACACCUGUAACCCCAGUUCCAGGGAUCCAACAUCCUCUGACCUCCAUGGGCCACCUGAACGCAUGUGAUGCCUGUAAACUCAUGCAGGCACACAGAGACACAAAUAAAAAUAAUAAAUAAAAGCUUAAAAAGAACAGAUAAAUCAUUUUUAUUUUUUAUUUUUUUGGAGACAGAGUCUCUAUGUAGUCCCAGCUGGGCUGGAACUCAAAAUGUAGAGCAGGAUGGCCUGGAACUCACAGAAAUCCGCCUGCCUCAGCCUCCAGAGUGUACCAACACUGCCUAGUUUGAGACUUGUUUUUCUUCUGUUAAUCUGUUUUAAUAGCAACUUAACUUAUGCAAAGAGCCUAGCAGGCAAAGGGAAGCAUUCUCCCAGCCAAGCACUGGCAUGAGCAUACAACUUUUAGUUGAUUUUAUCAUUCCAUCAGUUUGAACAAAAAAACCCAUUAAACUAUAAUUAAGAUCUUUAGAUAAAAUAGGAAGAGAUGUUGGGAGAGGGCAGAGGGUGUAUCUACAGAAGGCGCAUAGAAUAAAAUCAGUCAUUGUCUUAGGGUUUGUUUUUGGAUUUUUCUUGUUUGUUUGGUUUGGAAUUUUCAAGUAGUCCUGGCUGUCCUGGAACUCACUCUGUAGACCAGACUGGCCUUGAACUCACAGAGAUCUGACUACCUCUGCCUCCUGAGUGCUGGGAUUAAAGGCUUGCGCCGCCACCACCCAGCGUCUUAUAGAGUUCCCCUUGCUAUGAUAAAACACCAUAUCCAUAAUCUAUUUGGAAAAGAAAGAGUUUGUUUCAUCUUACAGUUUAUAGUCCAUCAUUCAAAGGAGUCAGGGCAGGAACUUGGAGGUGAGAACUGAAGCAGAAGCCAUGGAGGAGUGUUGCUUACUUGUUUACGCCUCUUGGCUCGCUCAGCCUGCCUUCUUACAACACCCAAGGCCACCAGCUCAGGAAUGGCACUACCCAGGGCCCACAUCAAUCGUCAACCAAGUAAAUGCCCUACAGACUUGCCCACGGGCUAAUCCUAGGGCGUCAUUUUCUUGAUUUAAGAGUACUUCUUCCCAGGUGAUCCUAGCUCGUCUCAAGCAGACAUAGAGCUAGCCAGCACAGGGAUGAAACAAACGGAAAGAGCUGUCGAGGAGAAUGUCUAAAACAUAACCUGCACUAAAGUCCUUGACAACGGUUUGAGGUUACUCUCGGGAGGAACUCUCACUUAAACCUCUGUGUUCAGAAACAGGAUUGCAAGGAAGCCAACUCCUGAACACUAUGGAAGAACAGACACAAACAGACACAUAGCAAAAGUGGACAAGUGCGUGAAUACAGAUCUGCUUGCUGUCAAAACAGACAAGUUCAUGAAACCUGGGAAAGUGGUGCUGGUCCUGGCUGGACGCUACACUGGAUGCAAAGCCGUCAUCGUGAAGAACACUGAUGAUGGCAUCUCACACCCUUACAGCCAUGCCCUGGUGUAAUGGACCACUAUUACAGUGGCUGAAAUGGACCACUAUUCCUGAAAAGUGACAGCUGCCAUGGGCAAGAAGAAAAUCGCCAAGAUAUCAAAGAUCAAGUCCUUUGUGAAAGUGGAUAACUACAACCGUCUCAUGCCACAAUGUGAUCCUCUGGGGAUAGCCCCUUGGACCAAACUGUUGUCAACAAGGCUGUCUUUAGAGACCCAGCUCUGAAACGCAAGGAGCAGGUCAAGCUUGAGGAAUGAUACAGGGAAGAACAAGCGGUUUUUUCAGAAGCUUCACUUACAGGUGUAUUUUUUGUUCCCAUCGUUAAAAUUUAUUUAAAAAAGAGAAUUUCCCUUCUAAGGCAUUCUAACCAAGAAGAAGCUCUUGGUUAGUAGCUCCUUAGAUGACUGCAGACUCCUGAUGGCAUAUCAUCCUGUAUUGUUCUCUGACUUUUGUGGUCCCUGUAUGUCCCAAGUCAGUGAUCUGUUGCUGUGAAGAGACACCAUGACCAUUGCAACUCUUAUAAAAGAAAGCAUUUAACUGGGGCUGGCUUACAGUUUCAGAGGUUUAGUCCAUUGUCGUCAUGAUGGGGAGCAUGGCAGCGUGCAGGCAGACGUGGUGCUGGAGAAGGAGCUGAGAAUCCUACAUCUGGAUCCACAGGCAACAGAAGGAAAAGAGAGACUCUGGGCCUAACUAGGACUUUUGAAACCUCAAAGCCCACCCUUAGUGACACACCUCCUCCAACAAGGCCACACCCCCCUAAUCCUUCUCCAAAAGAGCCACUCCCUGAUGAGUAAGCAUUCACUUAUAUGAGCCUAUGGGGGCCAUUCCCCAUGGUGUACAGUGCUCACAUACCAGGUAGGUAUGUACAUGAGUGUUGGUUUAUUUGCAGCACUCUUACCCUGCGAGGAAGGGUCAUGACCCGGAUGUUUUGCCUGCAUGAGUGUCUGUGCACCGUGUGUGUGUAGUACUUGUGGAGACCAGAAGAGGGUGUUGGUCUCCUGGGACUAGAGUUACAGU
This is a long non-coding RNA of Peromyscus californicus insignis, 5681 nucleotides long. RefSeq lists it as uncharacterized. The transcript is spliced from 3 exons. Lineage: Eukaryota; Metazoa; Chordata; Mammalia; Rodentia; Cricetidae. The record is from RefSeq and is a predicted model, not a curated record.